Long non-coding RNA from Cucurbita moschata (crookneck pumpkin), 135 nucleotides. RefSeq lists it as uncharacterized. The transcript is spliced from 3 exons. Lineage: Eukaryota; Viridiplantae; Streptophyta; Magnoliopsida; Cucurbitales; Cucurbitaceae. The record is from RefSeq and is a predicted model, not a curated record.
ACUGGUAUCAGAGCCAUUCCUUAACUUAGUCAUGUCAACAAAAUCCUCAAAUGUCGAACGAAAAAGUUGUGAGUCUCAAAGGUGUAGUAAAAAAGUGACCCCAAGUGUCGAAAAAAGGGUGUGUCCUUUGUUCGA